UCGUUCAUGAAGCUGCCGCCGCCAUCCUUCAUCUCUCCCUGUUCGGAUGAGUUUGGUCCUCUCUUCUUUCCAAAGCCAACAACGGCAGUGACGAAGCGGCGAUUGGACUGCAUC
Molecule: long non-coding RNA, 114 nt
Organism: Ipomoea nil (Japanese morning glory)
Lineage: Eukaryota; Viridiplantae; Streptophyta; Magnoliopsida; Solanales; Convolvulaceae
Exons: 3
Source: RefSeq, a predicted model, not a curated record